This 497-nucleotide ribosomal RNA is filed under the name uncultured bacterium. Its description in RNAcentral is "partial 16S ribosomal RNA". It matches the Rfam family "Bacterial small subunit ribosomal RNA", at positions 28 to 507 of the family's 1533-position model. The record is from RNAcentral.
GAUGAACGCUGGCGGCGUGCCUAAUACAUGCAAUUCGAGCGAACAGACGAGGAGCUUGCUCCUCUGACGUUAGCGGCGGACGGGUGAGUAACACGUGGAUAACCUACCUAUAAGACUGGGAUAACUUCGGGAAACCGGAGCUCAUACCGUAUAAUAUAUUUAACCGCAUGGUUCAAUAGUGAAAGACGGUUUUGCUGUCACUUAUCGAUGGAUCCGCGCCGCAUUAGCUAGUUGGUAAGGUAACGGCUUACCAAGGCAACGAUGCGUAGCCGACCUGAGAGGCUGAUCGGCCACACUGGAACUGAGACACGGUCCAGACGCCUACGGGAGGCAGCAGUAGGGAAUCUUCCGCAAUGGGAGAAAGCCUGACGGAGCAACGACGCGUGAGUGAUGAAGGUCUUCGGAUCGUAAAACUCUGUUAUUAGGGAAGAACAAAUGUGUAAGUAAAUAUGCACGUCUUGACGGUACCGAAUCAGAAAGCCACGGCUAACUACGUG